UUCUGUAGGAGUCCUGGAACCUUGUGCCACGUCUAAAGUAUUUCAUUGACAUGUUAGCCAGAGUCUCAGGCAGACGGCACGGAGUCUUUAUAUCCGCUUUUUCAACACAAUGAGGAUUCCUAACACAAGACUGUGAUGGACAUUAUUUAAUGACGCGUGAUGGUCUUCUGCUCUUCUUGGACUUUUAAUAAACGCUUGACUCACUGGAACAUGACCUUAUUUUAAGUUUCACAGAAUAUUAAAAGACCUAAUACAAUUUUUUUUUAACAGCGCGUUAUAUUUCUUAUUAUCACAGCAGCCAAUAGCUGCACGAAGUACUGCGAUGUCGUCAACAACGUAGAAGAAGAAGGAAGAUGAUUGGUUCUCUGUGGGAGGCGCCAAUAUAAUCAGGAAGUGACGGCCGGGCGACCAUGGCGGCAAAAUGACUUCGACGUCGACGUCACUUUUUUCCAAUGGCUGCACGGAGUACUGCCAUGUCGUCUGCUCAGCAACAACGUAGAAGAAGAAGAGGCAGCAAUAUGAUUGGUUCUCUGUGGGAGGCGCCAAGAUAAACAGGAAGUGACGGCCCGGCGACCAUGGCGGCAAAAUGACUUCGACGGCGUCACUAUUUUGUGAGUAUCAGGUGGUUCCAGUCGCUCCAACAAUGUUUCUGUGAGGAUUUUUCUCUCCCAAUUUUUGGCAAAAACAUUUCUGUACAGCCUAAAACAACGUUAUUUGUCAUAAAUGGAUGUACAUAUUUUUGUUUUCUUUCACACUGACAUGCGGUCAGAUGCACUGCUUGUCGGACGUUUUUGUUUUCAGGUCACAUUCUGGGUUCAUUGGUUACAUUUCUUCAUAGUUUUUUUGUGUCUGGUUCUAAUCCAGGCCGUAUUUAUUUCUUUUUAAGAAUGUGUCGCAGGCCAAGAAAAAACAAUCUGUGGGCCACAAAAGGCCCGCGUGCCGCACUUUAGACACACCUCGCCAUAGGUCUGUUAAUCUCGCAUGCUUAAUAUUAAUAUUAUCUUUUGAAAUAAAUGUAUUUUUGUUUUCACGGCACAUUUUGGCUUCAUUGGAGCCAGUUACAUUUUUUCAUAGUUUUUUGUGUCGAGUUCUAAUCCAGGCCUUGUUUAUUUCCUUUGACUCAGUGUUGCAAAAGCAAGCUGCGGGCCGCAAAAAGGGCCCCGUGCUGCACUUUGGACACCCGCCGCAAUAAAUCCAUUAAUCUAGCAUGUUUAAUAUGAAUAUUAUCUUUUAUUACAAAUGUGUUCAAACGAAAAAAAUACUUUAUGCCAAUAAAACAAUUUUGUUUGA
Nerophis ophidion (straightnose pipefish) is the source of this 1290-nucleotide long non-coding RNA. RefSeq lists it as uncharacterized. NCBI's taxonomy places the organism in Eukaryota, Metazoa, Chordata, Actinopteri, Syngnathiformes, Syngnathidae. The transcript is spliced from 3 exons. The record is from RefSeq and is a predicted model, not a curated record.